UAAUAUUCUUACACGAAUCUGCAGCUUUUGGACAGUCCAAAGAGAGACCCAGCUGGCACACAGGAAGCCACACACGGGCAGCAGGGCCGCUCCAGGCCAUCGAGGCCCAUAGUCAGGACUCUACUCACCAUGUGUGGAGAUGCUGCUUUCCUCCAGAAGCUCUGUCACAUUACCUUCAAACCGGUCUUGGAUGUCCUGGAGGAUUUUGGCGUCAUUCUCCUCAGACACAAAAGUGAUGGACAGGCCUUUAGUGCCAAAAAAACCUGCACGAGCCACUGGGUGGAGGUCAUUCUCCUUUAUUCACAAAACAUCACUGUAGCCACCACCUCAGCCUCGCCACUUCCAGCAAGGAGAUCUGGCCUGUGUGCAGGGAGUCCACGCAGGAUCCCAUGGAGGUGUUUGUGGAUGAUGAGACCAAGUGCACGCUGCACACACCGCAGCAGUACUACCUCAAGCUCAAGGACACCGAGAAGAACUGCAAGCUUAUUUCCUGGCCCACUGCACCCCAGCCCUACCUUAUGCUAAGUCUCCAUGUCAGAGGAUGAUAAAUCCACAUGCGCGUGCACAUGCAUAUUCACCAUCUGGCCCUUGUUCCGUUCAGGUGAUUUAUUUCUUGCAUCUCCUUAUUGAAUUUAUAAGAAGAUGCAUGAUAAUUCAUUUUCUUUGUCAAUUCCCUGCUUCUCAUUUUGCUAAUUCAAUGCCACACUAACACUUCUAUUAAUUUGGCACUUGGAACUGAUAGAUUUACUGUGUGGCGUUCCAUCUCUAACUAAACAAAAAUAAAACCGCAGACCUGGAGCUUUUUCCACUGUCAAAGUUUUGCUGCUGCUGUUUUGGCCGCUGCUGCGUUGUAUGAAGCUUAUCCACAUCCUUUAAUCAUAGGAUGUGGAUAAUCGUUCUCUCGAACGGAGGUAUAUGGGGAUAAUACCUGAAGGUUUUCCACAUUGUGGAGGCAUUGUAAAUAUUCCUGAAGUGAAGACUUGUGUGGCUAAAGAAGUCAUCUUCCUUAUAAAUCAUAGGGUUCACCUGAGUCAUAAGGCAACCUGCUCUUCUAUAGCAAAUACUUGCUUGCUGCAAAGGCCUGGACGAGGAUUCUCGACAGUGAUCACCUGCACCUUGUC
RNAcentral lists this long non-coding RNA (1121 nucleotides) under Macaca mulatta (Rhesus monkey). RNAcentral describes it as "lncRNA (ENSMMUG00000062382.1)". The record is from RNAcentral. Lineage: Eukaryota; Metazoa; Chordata; Mammalia; Primates; Cercopithecidae.